GCAGCCGUGUAUACCACCAUGGAUGCACCUAAUCUUGUCUAAUCUCAGAAGCUAAGCAGGGUAGGGAGGGCCUGAUUAGUACCAGCAGAAAUACUGUAUGAAUGUGCCAAAGGCUUUUAUUUAACUCAUGGAUGCA
This 136-nucleotide ribosomal RNA is filed under the name Nannospalax galili (Upper Galilee mountains blind mole rat). Lineage: Eukaryota; Metazoa; Chordata; Mammalia; Rodentia; Spalacidae. The record is from RNAcentral.